This 1519-nucleotide ribosomal RNA is filed under the name metagenome. RNAcentral's name for it is "bacterial SSU rRNA". It matches the Rfam family "Bacterial small subunit ribosomal RNA". The record is from RNAcentral.
GUUUGAUCAUGGCUCAGAUUGAACGCUGGCGGCAGGCCUAACACAUGCAAGUCGAACGGUAACAGGAAACAGCUUGCUGUUUCGCUGACGAGUGGCGGACGGGUGAGUAAUGUCUGGGAAACUGCCUGAUGGAGGGGAAUAACUACUGGAAACGGUAGCUAAUACCGCAUAACGUCGCAAGACCAAAGAGGGGGACCUUCGGGCCUCUUGCCAUCAGAUGUGCCCAGAUGGGAUUAGCUAGUAGGUGGGGUAACGGCUCACCUAGGCGACGAUCCCUAGCUGGUCUGAGAGGAUGACCAGCCACACUGGAACUGAGACACGGUCCAGACUCCUACGGGAGGCAGCAGUGGGGAAUAUUGCACAAUGGGCGCAAGCCUGAUGCAGCCAUGCCGCGUGUAUGAAGAAGGCCUUCGGGUUGUAAAGUACUUUCAGCGGGGAGGAAGGGAGUAAAGUUAAUACCUUUGCUCAUUGACGUUACCCGCAGAAGAAGCACCGGCUAACUCCGUGCCAGCAGCCGCGGUAAUACGGAGGGUGCAAGCGUUAAUCGGAAUUACUGGGCGUAAAGCGCACGCAGGCGGUUUGUUAAGUCAGAUGUGAAAUCCCCGGGCUCAACCUGGGAACUGCAUCUGAUACUGGCAAGCUUGAGUCUCGUAGAGGGGGGUAGAAUUCCAGGUGUAGCGGUGAAAUGCGUAGAGAUCUGGAGGAAUACCGGUGGCGAAGGCGGCCCCCUGGACGAAGACUGACGCUCAGGUGCGAAAGCGUGGGGAGCAAACAGGAUUAGAUACCCUGGUAGUCCACGCCGUAAACGAUGUCGACUUGGAGGUUGUGCCCUUGAGGCGUGGCUUCCGGAGCUAACGCGUUAAGUCGACCGCCUGGGGAGUACGGCCGCAAGGUUAAAACUCAAAUGAAUUGACGGGGGCCCGCACAAGCGGUGGGGCAUGUGGUUUAAUUCGAUGCAACGCGAAGAACCUUACCUGGUCUUGACAUCCACGGAAGUUUUCAGAGAUGAGGAUGUGCCUUCGGGAACCGUGAGACAGGUGCUGCAUGGCUGUCGUCAGCUCGUGUUGUGAAAUGUUGGGUUAAGUCCCGCAACGAGCGCAACCCUUAUCCUUUGUUGCCAGCGGUCCGGCCGGGAACUCAAAGGAGACUGCCAGUGAUAAACUGGAGGAAGGUGGGGAUGACGUCAAGUCAUCAUGGCCCUUACGACCAGGGCUACACACGUGCUACAAUGGCGCAUACAAAGAGAAGCGACCUCGCGAGAGCAAGCGGACCUCAUAAAGUGCGUCGUAGUCCGGAUUGGAGUCUGCAACUCGACUCCAUGAAGUCGGAAUCGCUAGUAAUCGUGGAUCAGAAUGCCACGGUGAAUACGUUCCCGGGCCUUGUACACACCGCCCGUCACACCAUGGGAGUGGGUUGCAAAAGAAGUAGGUAGCUUAACCUUCGGGAGGGCGCUUACCACUUUGUGAUUCAUGACUGGGGUGAAGUCGUAACAAGGUAACCGUAGGGGAACCUGCGGUUG